Long non-coding RNA from Pieris rapae (cabbage white), 794 nucleotides. RefSeq lists it as uncharacterized. The transcript has 3 exons. The record is from RefSeq and is a predicted model, not a curated record. Lineage: Eukaryota; Metazoa; Arthropoda; Insecta; Lepidoptera; Pieridae.
CGAUAGGAGAAAGAAUAAAAUAGAACUGUUUGUCCAACAAGACGCAUACAAAUUAAAUCACCUGCAAAGUAGCGACUGUAUUUUGUUAACUAUGCUUUUGAAAUUAUUAAUUAUUUGUAUUAUAUCCCAAAUAACGUUGCAGUGGAGAAUGCCGAAUAGACCAAAUAAAACCUAUUUUAGAACUAUAAGUUAUAGUGUCCCUAAGAGGACACUCGGUGUCACUAUCAAGCCCCGGCUAUAUAUUGUCCCGACAAUUUACAACAAAUUAGAAACAAAUUUGAAUCAAGAUUCUAUGAAACAGAACAGUUCUACCGUUAUGGACGAAGAUGAAAUUCCAAAUAUAUCUGAUAAGACAGACGACGAAAUUCUAGACGAUAUAAUUGAUGAAACGAAUGGAAACGGCACUAGCAGUGAACAUUUUUAUGAUGAUUCUCCGGUAAAUGACAUUGUCUCCGAAAAUGUAAUGAACACUGAUAUCGAAGAAAGCAAUGAAGAUGCAGAUGAUUGAAUUAAGUGGAAUAUUGGCAAAUAUAUAGUUCAUUACUAAUUAUUUAGUAGUAAUUUACUAGUAACUUACGCUAGCUGAUCGUUCCUUGUUUAUAACUUGGAACCUAGAUAUUAUAUACGCCUAUAUAUUAUAUUCUUUCUUAAGGAAGUACUGAAAAGUAAAGACUUCCCAAUGAUAGCUAAGAAAAAGGUGUUUAAUCUAUGUAUCCUACCAUGUGUCACAUAUGGCUUCCAGACUUGGGCAUUAUCUCAAAAAAAAAAAAAAAAAAACUUGGUGAAAGAAGCAU